Alligator mississippiensis (American alligator) is the source of this 1025-nucleotide long non-coding RNA. RefSeq lists it as uncharacterized. The record is from RefSeq and is a predicted model, not a curated record. The transcript is spliced from 2 exons. Lineage: Eukaryota; Metazoa; Chordata; Crocodylia; Alligatoridae.
CCCCUCCCCCCCCCCCCCACUGUCCUAACUGUCCCAACCGCCCGGUGCGCGCGGCAGUUGGAGCCCGGCAGACAGCAGUGCAAGGGUCCGCGGGGCGCAGGGGCCCAGGGAGCCCCGUCGGGCUAAGAUGGCGGCCAGCCCGGCCUGGGAGGCCACCCCCAACCCACGGCUCGAAGUCGAGAGCGACCGGCCCGGCCAGACACGCUCCCUUUCCCCAGAGCCCCGGGCACCCCAAACUGAAAGCCGGAAGCAAAAGGGUAGUGUUUUGGCAGCUGCUCAAAAGGAUACGAUUCCUCUUCUACCUCUGGGUCUUGCGCCCAGAUAAACUUCACAGGGUGUCGACCAGGACCCCAUUUCGCUCUGAGGGAAGAGCGGGUCUCUGGCUAGUGGAUGUGCUCUGCUCCCUCGGGCAUCAUUCGCUGUGACACGGGGAAGUCAGUUACCCUGUAUUAUCUGGCUUACAACCUGCCCUGGAGCAGAAACCGCACCUUGCUUCUGAAGAGCAAAGAAAAAAUGAUUUUUCCAAAGUUAUGGCUCCAUUGAGCCAAAGGCAUCCUCCUUUCUUCCUUCGCUAAGGCUGAAACCCGAAUUGCUGCUAACGACUGGUCUGCAUAAGUGGACUUCUGUGAAAUGAGCUAAAGCAGUGAUUCACAAGCAGGGUGCUGUGGCACUCUGCACUGCCUUGAGAUACUUUCAGGGGUGCCCUGUAGUGCUAAACAACAAGGAAGUUUUGGGGUUUUUACCUCCCUGCCUGCCAUCUGACACCUUCAGGGAAGGAAUUCUACCUGAUCAACACAGCUCACAAAGACACUUUCAUGGACCCAGAGGGACAACCUUCCAUCUUCAGCUCCCUCUGUGCAAAAAUGAAGUUUAUUUCCUACCUAUGGAGACUUUUUACCAUCUUGUACCAUCUACACUUUUCCCAGAGCCUGAUGAAGGGACUUUGAUCCCAAAAGCUUGCAGAAAAGGACAGUUUUCUUGCCAUUUUCCAUUUGGUCUAAUAAAAGGUAUCAUUUUGGAACCAA